UUACAUCACUAAUUUCUGCAAUACUUCCAUCUCUAACUACCUUGAUUAAAUAGAUUGGUCAUUUGUAAACAUGCCUAAAGAAAAUUAUAAACAAAAAGUUAGAGACGUCUGGCUACAGAGCUCAGAAUUCAAGGAAUGGCUGAGAAAGGACUUGACUGAUUUGACAAGGGCUUAUUGCAGCUAUUGCAAGUGUAGCAUCAACGCUAAAUUGUGUGAUUUGCGGGUACAUGCAAUUUCCAAGAAGCACACCGGAGCCCUAAAUGCUUUCGCCCAAAAAAACAAAAUUGAAUUCAAAAAAAUGCCGACCAAGACCAUAGAACAGGAAGUAGCACUGUGUCUUUUUGUGGCAAAGCAUACAGCAAUAAGCCCUGUUGACCAUCUGAGCAACAUAUGCUCCACAAAAUUUGAUGACAGCAGUAGUGCUUCUCGCAUUAAACUUCAUCGAACGAAGUGUACACACAUUAUAAAAAAUGUUCUGGCUGUCCAUUUUUACGAUGACCUCCAUAGAGAUAUUGGAGACAAAAAAUUUAGUUUACUUCUGGACGAAUCGACAGACAUAAGCUUUACGAAACUUCUCGGUGUGGUAGUUAACUACUUUUCUGCAGAACAUGGAGUAGUUGUAUCGACGUUCCUUAGCUUGAUACCCGUAGAAAGUGGAGAUGCAUUGUCAUUGGCUGAUGGUUUAAGAAAAGAACUGAAACGUUUAAAAUUAAAUAUUAAAAAUUUAAUUGGAAUCGGAACUGACAACGCCAGUGUCAUGAUUGGCACAAACAACAGUUUGUACACACAAUUAAAGAAGGAUGCGCCGUCCCUAAUUUUAAUAAAAUGUGUUUGUCAUUCGGUGCAAUUGGCAGUAAACCACUCGUGUAAGCACUUCUUUCCCGAAAGCCUGGAGUUCUUAAUUUAUGAGACUUAUAACUGGUUUUCUAAAAGUUCUG
Drosophila willistoni is the source of this 938-nucleotide RNA transcript. RefSeq lists it as uncharacterized. The record is from RefSeq and is a predicted model, not a curated record. Lineage: Eukaryota; Metazoa; Arthropoda; Insecta; Diptera; Drosophilidae. The transcript has 2 exons.